Molecule: long non-coding RNA, 2259 nt
Organism: Megalobrama amblycephala (Wuchang bream)
Lineage: Eukaryota; Metazoa; Chordata; Actinopteri; Cypriniformes; Xenocyprididae
Exons: 5
Source: RefSeq, a predicted model, not a curated record
UUGAUUACCUAAUAUCUUAGUCCUAUAUUUGAUAUCACUUACUGAUUAGUUAAGCUUGUUUCCUUAGUUAAUAGUAGUGGCUGAAGUGUAAUCAGCAGAGUAAUUAAUAGAUUUAAAGAAUUUAGAUUAUACAUAAAAAAAUCCUUAAGUCUAAUACCGCUAGAGUCACACAUGGCAAGUAUAGAUGCCGUGAGAUUGAGUUGAAUAACCACAUGCAGUAUGCAAAACAAUAAAGAAAAGAAGAAGAAGAAGAAAAAACACCACAGAGCAAGAAAUGUUCUCCUGUUCAAAAUCAUGUGAAGCUCACUGUGCAGAAGCACACAGAACAGGAUGAGUGCAUGUUGCGUAGGUGAAGGAAAUGGAAACCACAGGUAUAAAAAUAAAGAGACCAGUGACAGAUAGUGUUGUGUGAUUUGGAUGGUGACUGUGAGGAUUAGACUGGAUUAAUUUAUAUUUUGAGGCCAUUUUUGACGUACCUGGCUUGUGUUUAAGAUGGAUUGGCUAUACCGGAGGAAGACUCCUUUGUUUCUGGCCGUGUUUGUAGUUUUCAUGCUCCAUGUGAGGACUGACGCACAAGGUCCUGGCCACCAAUGCCCUGUCUUUAAAGUUCAGAGAGGGGCUGUUCAUAAAGCCUGUAUAAACAAGCCUUUCAACAUCUCCUGCAAACUGAAGUAUUGUGAUAAUCAGACAAUCAAUAUUAUAUGGACUAAAGAAAACCUGAAAGGAUGGAUUCCAGUGUCUGGAACAGGUCAAAUGUCAACAUCACAGAUCUAUUCAGCACCUGAUCUUCUGACUUCAUAUUUAACUUUCACAAAUAUAUGAAAUAAUCAUGAUGGCCUCUACAGAUGUGAACUACAGUUACCAAACUUGUUAACAUUCAGCCAUUAUAUUAAUAUUUCUGUCUCAGAUGACAGCCUGGAAGAUGAAAUGUCUUACACUGAUAGUAAGAGCAGUUUUAAUCUAUGUUUUAAUCUGAUGUGUGAAAUGUUCCACUCAAAGCUUUCAUAUGAUUCAGUUCAUAAAAGUUAUAUAAAUUUGUCAUUUUAUUAUAUUCUGUAAAUUUGGUUAAUGUUCUAACUUUGAACAUUGCUUCUCCUUUUUCAAAAGAAUAUGGAUGCUUUCUCUUUUUUAUUUUUUAGUGACAACAGAAAGAGACACUGAUUCCAGCUCUGAUUCAAAGCCAUGGUGGAUGCCGUAUCUCUUUAUCUGUAUGGGUGUAGGGAUUCCUGUUCUCAUAUUAAUACUCUUCUUUAUCCUGUGUAUUAAUGGAUUUAAAACUUUGAGAAGAAAGAACACACAGAAAGCACAUGUUGAGUAUACAGAUCUUCUGAAGUGUGAUGAAUUUGUCUGUGUUCAGUACUCAGAAGAAACACUGACCACAACACAUCCGGCCUUAACACCUGAAGUGUCUACACUCUAUGUGUCAUAUAGCGGUGAUGAUCCUUUAUACAUGAGAGAUAACUGCUUGAGCCAGGUUGUAUAUACAUCUCUGCUUCACCAGUAAAAUCAUCUACUGCAGCCCGUCAGAAAGGUUAUCCAUCAGAACAUUUUAAAAUAUGUUCCAAUUGACACAAAGCUUUAUGUAGUUUUGUAACAAUUAUGUUUAGUAGUUGAUCAUCUGGUGAUCAUUUUGAAAACACAAUAAAUGUUUUGUUCUUUUAGAGGCUUAGAUUUAAUACCUUCAUAAUGCAUUUGGGUUAGUUUUUUUUAUUUAUUUAUUUUUUUUUUUUUGAAUGAAAACUUGAAUGUGAAAUGAAAUGAAACUUUGAAUGUGUUAACACUGUCGAAAUACAUAUAAUUUUUUUUCUUUAAAUUUAACCAAAUUGUUACACCUGUUUUAACCUGAAAGUGAACUUAAGUGUAAGUGAAAUUUUUGUGAACAGAUUUUUUUCAUCUUUUAGUUAGAUUUGUCUCAUUUUACUUCUGUAAAAUACAUUUAGCCUCUUUCUUUUACUCACACACACAUUUUUUCCUUCCCUCCAUGACUGCAUUUUGUUUAUGAACAUUGCUUGUGUAUGCGCACACACAAUACAUGAAAAGGAAAGAGGGUUUGAACAAGAAGUCCACAUUUCACUCUGCUGCCACCUACUGGUGAAUCAUUGCAGCAUUAAAAGGAGAUUGUGCCUGUUUGCCAUCUUUAAACGUCCAAAAAAAAAAUAUGCAAGUCAAAUAUAUAUUUUGUUUUAAAACAUUUAAGAGUAAUACUGAUGUUGUUAAAGUUUCUCAUAAAUAUUGAUAAAAAUAUAUUUUAUUGCAUCA